GAUGAACGCUGGCGGCAUGCCUAAUACAUGCAAGUCGAGCGAACAGACGAGGAGCUUGCUCCUCUGACGUUAGUGGCGGACGGGUGCGUAACCCGUGGAUAACCAACCUAUCAGAAUGGGAUAACUUCGGGACACCGGAGCUAAUACCGGAUAAUAUAUUGAACCGCAGGGUUCAAUUGUGACAGACGGUUUUGCUGUCACUUAUAGAUGGAACCGCGCCGCAUUAGCGAGUUGGUAAGGUAACGGCUAACAACGGCAACGAUGCGUAGCCUACCUAGGAGAUGGUCCGGCGACACUCGAACAGAGACACGGUCCAGACUCCGACUGGGAGCAGGAGUAGGGAACCAUGCGAAACAGGCGUAGGGCAGACGGAGCAACGCCGCAUGAGUUAUGAAGGUCUUCGGAUCUUAAAACUCUGUGAUUAGGGAAGGUCAAAUGUUUAAGUAACUAUGCACGUCUUGACGGUACCUAAUCAGAAAGCCACGGCUAACUACGUG
RNAcentral lists this ribosomal RNA (497 nucleotides) under uncultured bacterium. RNAcentral's name for it is "partial 16S ribosomal RNA". It matches the Rfam family "Bacterial small subunit ribosomal RNA", at positions 28 to 507 of the family's 1533-position model. The record is from RNAcentral.